This 252-nucleotide ribosomal RNA is filed under the name uncultured bacterium. Its description in RNAcentral is "partial 16S ribosomal RNA". It matches the Rfam family "Bacterial small subunit ribosomal RNA", at positions 524 to 776 of the family's 1533-position model. The record is from RNAcentral.
UACGUAGGGGUCGAGCGUUGUCCGGAGUACUGGGCGUAAAGCGUGCGCAGGCGGCUCAUCGCGCUCGGCGUGAAAGCCCCCGGCUCAACCGGGGAGGGUCGUCGAGGACGGGUGAGCUUGAGGGUAUCAGGGGUUGGUGGAAUUCCCGGUGUAGUGGUGAAAUGCGUAGAGAUCGGGAGGAACACCCGUGGCGAAGGCGGCCAACUGGGAUACACCUGACGCUGAGGCACGAAGGCGUGGGGAGCGAACGGG